This 74-nucleotide transfer RNA is filed under the name Chloroflexota bacterium. RNAcentral's name for it is "Chloroflexi bacterium (groundwater metagenome) tRNA-Glu". It matches the Rfam family "tRNA". From Rfam's summary of the family: Transfer RNA (tRNA) molecules are approximately 80 nucleotides in length. Their secondary structure includes four short double-helical elements and three loops (D, anti-codon, and T loops). Further hydrogen bonds mediate the characteristic L-shaped molecular structure. tRNAs have two regions of fundamental functional importance: the anti-codon, which is responsible for specific mRNA codon recognition, and the 3' end, to which the tRNAs corresponding amino acid is attached (by aminoacyl-tRNA synthetases). tRNAs cope with the degeneracy of the genetic code in two manners: having more than one tRNA (with a specific anti-codon) for a particular amino acid; and 'wobble' base-pairing, i.e. permitting non-standard base-pairing at the 3rd anti-codon position. The record is from RNAcentral. Lineage: Bacteria; Bacillati; Chloroflexota.
GGCGCAUUCGUCUAGUGGUCCAGGACGCCGCCCUCUCAAGGCGGAGAUCACGGGUUCGAAGCCCGUAUGCGCCA